Amphibalanus amphitrite is the source of this 474-nucleotide long non-coding RNA. RefSeq lists it as uncharacterized. Lineage: Eukaryota; Metazoa; Arthropoda; Thecostraca; Balanomorpha; Balanidae. The transcript is spliced from 3 exons. The record is from RefSeq and is a predicted model, not a curated record.
CGCUGGAACAGGCCCUAAGUGUAUUUCCUAUGGCAGGUCGCAGAUGAAAAUUGUUCAGGAGAGCCAGCGCCAUUCCGGAUCUGAAAAUGCUCUGCAUGUCAGCAUUGUCUGGAGAUUGCAAUAUCCUAAUCAAUCACUACCCUCUAAUGACCAACGGGUAUAUGCUCAGCACAUCAUCAUAUCACCGUUCCACACACCAUCACAUUACAAACAUCAUCACGCACCAAUUAGUAUGCGUUUCUGCUCUGAAAUGGGUACAUUUCAAUGCUGUUCACAACCAUUAAAUCACAUGUUCAAUCCACUCCUGUUCGUCUCCUCAGUCACCCGGAGACCUUGACCUACUCCUGGUCCUCUACGCCCGCCAGCGCCGCUUCGUCUGCGGUGCCGACCAGCGCCGCUUCGUCUGCGGCCCCCGCCAGCGCCACUUCGUCUGCGGCCCCCGCCAGCGCCGCUUCGUCUGCGGUGCCGACCAGC